This 468-nucleotide ribosomal RNA is filed under the name uncultured bacterium. RNAcentral's name for it is "partial 16S ribosomal RNA". It matches the Rfam family "Bacterial small subunit ribosomal RNA", at positions 28 to 507 of the family's 1533-position model. The record is from RNAcentral.
GACGAACGCUGGCGGCGUGCUUAACACAUGCAAGUCGAACGGAAAGACCCUGCUUUUGUGGGGUGCUCGAGUGGCGAACGCGUGAGUAACACGUGAGUAACCUGCCCUUGACUUUGGGAUAACUUCAGGAAACUGGGGUUAAUACCGUAUAGGAUCUCCUGCUGCAUGGUGGGGGUUGGAAAGUUUCGGCGGUUGGGGAUGGAUUCGCGGCUUAUCAGCUUGUUGGUGGGGUAGUGGCUUACCAAGGCUUUGACGGGUAGCCGGCCUGAGAGGGUGACCGGCCACAUUGGGACUGAGAUACGGACCAGAGUCGUACGGGAGGCAGCAGUGGGGAAUAUUGCACAGUGGGCGGAAGCCUGAUGAAGCAACGCCGCGUGCGGGAUGACGGCCUUCGGGUUGUAAACAGCUUUCGCCUGUGACGAAGCGUGAGUGACGGUAAUGGGUAAAGAAGCACCGGCUAACUACGUG